UUUGCAAAACUUCUGGGACACUCUGUUCCAGAUCAAACACGGAACAACUGUAGACAUCAAAGGAAAAGCUCCGUGCCAGUCAGUCUGCAGUCGAAAUUAAAGGAAGAGGAAGCCCCAGUCCGUGUGAAUAUCAAGUGGAAGGCGCCUCCUAUUGGAUGGGCGAAGGUGAAUGUAGAUGGUGCCUAUGUCGCUGCAACGGGGAAGGCGGGUGCUGGUAUCAUUAUCCGGAACCAUAUGGGAGAAGUGCUGCUGUCGUCAUGGCGCACAAUCAAGAAUUGCGGUUCGGCGGAGGAAGCUGAUCAAGCUGUGUCCUGCAGAGAUGGUAUUCGACUCUUGGUGGAAUGGGUGAAAAUGCCAAUGAUUCUCGAAACGGACUGUGCUAACAUUGGUCGGGCCAUGGUGAUUCGUGAAGCCCGGGCGGCGUUAUCCCUAAUCCCUGAGUAUCGCCUUCAGGUGGCUAGAAGAGAGGCAAACAAAGCUGCGCAUGGGCUGGCGCAGUAUGCAAGGAGAACAAAUCAAACUGUUGUGUGGCGGGAACACGCCCCUGAGUGUUAUUCUGUUUUUAUAGCGGAUGAUUGUAACCAGACUUAG
Molecule: long non-coding RNA, 591 nt
Filed under: Oryza sativa Indica Group (long-grained rice)
Lineage: Eukaryota; Viridiplantae; Streptophyta; Magnoliopsida; Poales; Poaceae
Description: lncRNA OsMH63_12G016560
Source: RNAcentral